GCCUAGGUAAUCCAUCUGGAGCUAAGCAGGUUGGGGCCUGUCCAGUACUUGGAUGGGAAACCAACUAGGGAAGCUGGGUUUCUGAGGCA
This 89-nucleotide ribosomal RNA is filed under the name Paramormyrops kingsleyae. The record is from RNAcentral. Lineage: Eukaryota; Metazoa; Chordata; Actinopteri; Osteoglossiformes; Mormyridae.